Molecule: ribosomal RNA, 450 nt
Filed under: uncultured archaeon
Lineage: Archaea
Description: bacterial SSU rRNA
Rfam family: Archaeal small subunit ribosomal RNA
Source: RNAcentral
CCCGACUGCUAUCGGAUUGAGAUUUAGCCAUGCGAGUCGAACGUCCCCCUGUUGCGGGGGGCGUGGCGUACGGCUCAGUAACACGUAGUCAACCUGCCCUGGAGACACGGACAACCCCGGGAAACUGGGACUAAUCCGUGAUAGGUCACCUCAUCUGGAAGGAGAGAUGGCCCAAAGGGGCGCGCGGGCUUCUUCUGCGCGUUCGCUCCAGGAUGGGACUGCGACCGAUCAGGCUGUUGGCGGGGUAAAGGCCCACCAAACCUGUAACCGGUACGGGCCUUGAGAGAGGUGGCCCGGAGAUGGACACUGAGAAAAGGGUCCAGGUCCUACGGGGCGCAGCAGGCGCGAAACCUUCGCAAUGCGCGAAAGCGCGACGAGGUUAAUCCNGAGUGAUUUCCGCUGAGGAGACCUUUUGUCGGAAGUAAAUUGUCCGGCGAAUAGACCGGGAGC